Molecule: non-coding RNA, 22 nt
Filed under: Arabidopsis thaliana (thale cress)
Lineage: Eukaryota; Viridiplantae; Streptophyta; Magnoliopsida; Brassicales; Brassicaceae
Source: RNAcentral
GAAAUAACACUAGAGUAUGCUA